UCUAAAUUUAACCAUGUAGACAAAUUCAAAAUGGGUUAGGAUUUUAAAAGAAACUACUAUCAAACGAAAAUAUGUAUGUUGUUACGGAGACUUAGACGAACCAUGGUUUAUCAACACAAUGAACAUACUCAGCUUGACACAAAUUUCAGCACUAACAGAUCUUAACAAGCAAGUCCAAGGCCAAAUAGAUUCAUUUAGAUAGGACUAAAAAAUCUUCAAGAAAUAAUCUGUAUAACUAGUGUUAAGGGAAUGCAAGAUUGAGUCGCAGGGGAUUCUAAGAUUUCCUUCGAAAGACAAUGGGAGUUGACAACAUAAUUGAUUUUCCUUGAUGCUAAAAUAGAUGUUGACUCUUAUUACAAAAACAAUUUUUUGAGUGAACAAGGUAGUAGCAAAUAAAAUUUUCCACAAGAAGGAGGGAUAAUACAACGAAUUUCAAACUUAUCAAUUUAACAAGAGUGAUAUGAACUAGAGGCAGAACACAUUGUUCGUAACAACACAUUCAUCGAAGCAGGUUGGUAAAACGCUUAAAGAAUAGCCACUAGAAUAAUAAAAUUGUAUUUAAAAUAGCGUAGGAGGGCAGCUUCAUGGAUGAUACUUAAAAGUUUAACACAAUAAAGAGGGAAACUAACAUACACACUGCCAAACUAGAGAAAUAAAGAGGAGUGUCCAAUCAAAUGUCCAUUAUACAAUUUAUAUGUCUUCCCACCUGGAUAUGUCAUUUAAAUACACAUACACACAAAAUUUGCUCGACAUGAAUAUGUAUUCUGGUUCGUGUCGACCAUUCUACACACUAAAACUUAAUAAUCAC
RNAcentral lists this long non-coding RNA (808 nucleotides) under Solanum tuberosum (potato). RNAcentral describes it as "long non-coding RNA (STUB_LNC010041)". The record is from RNAcentral. Lineage: Eukaryota; Viridiplantae; Streptophyta; Magnoliopsida; Solanales; Solanaceae.